GCAGAGCUGUGCAUUAUCAUUAUCUUAGAGAUGGUGAUUUGGUGUGUGGACACUCCACCAAAGAUCUAAUGCAAUCAGAAAGUUAAAAUAUAUGGGCUGGAAAUACAAAUUCAUUAGACGUACACAAGAAAGUACGCUGCGGCGGAUCUGUCAUUUAAAUUAGAUUGUGACAAUUAUAUGGAUAGUCUGGUUGAGAUGAUAUAUGAGUUGCUCACUUUAUCUGUGCCGUGAUUUAAUUUCUGCCAGAGAUGCACUGAGUUAGGACCCCGUCAUCCUCUCACCGGACCUACGCCGAACAGAGCUGGGCCCAUCCCGCAUGCUUCCCGUUAGCAGCUCGAAGGAUUUAGAGCUGGAGGUGGACUAAUAGCAACAUUUUAAUGAGAAGAAAGAUGUAGAAGGACAUCUUCAUUUCACACGAAGGAAUAGGCACCUGCCUGGAAGUUUAAGGUCACAGAGAGAGGCUGAAGCAG
Tympanuchus pallidicinctus (lesser prairie-chicken) is the source of this 470-nucleotide long non-coding RNA. RefSeq lists it as uncharacterized. The transcript is spliced from 3 exons. NCBI's taxonomy places the organism in Eukaryota, Metazoa, Chordata, Aves, Galliformes, Phasianidae. The record is from RefSeq and is a predicted model, not a curated record.